RNAcentral lists this ribosomal RNA (677 nucleotides) under uncultured bacterium. Its description in RNAcentral is "bacterial SSU rRNA". It matches the Rfam family "Bacterial small subunit ribosomal RNA", at positions 94 to 803 of the family's 1533-position model. The record is from RNAcentral.
AGUGGCAAACGGCUGAGUAACACGUAGGAACCUCCCCCAAAGCCCGACAUAGCUCACCGAAAGGUGGGGUAAUUUCGGAUAGUCUCUUCGGAGUAAAGAUUCGUCACUUUGGGAUGGGCCUGCGUCCUAUCAGGUAGUUGGUGAGGUAAAUGCUCACCAAGCCUAUGACGGGUAGCUGAUCUGAGAGGAUGGUCAGCCAGACUGGGACUGAGAUACGGCCCAGACUCCUACGGGAGGCAGCAACUAGGAAUUAUGUGCAAUGGGCGAAAGCCUGACACUGCGACAUCGCGUGGAGGAUGAAGGUCUUAGGAUCGUAAACUCCUUUUAUUGGGGAACAAGUUCUGAGUGUACCCAAUGAAUAAGUGCCUGCCAACCACGUGCCAGAAGCAUCGGUAAUACGUGGGACACAAGCGUUAUCCGGAUUUACUGGGCGUAAAGAGAUGCGUAGGUGACUUAAUAAGUUCUGUGUUAAAGCCUAAUGCUCACCAUUAGAAGCGCGCAGAACACUGUUUUGAUUGAGUUAAGUAGGGAGAAGGGGAAUUCCUGGUGGAGCGGUUAAAUGCGUUGAUAUCAGGAGGAACACCAAUAGCGAAGGCACCUUCUUGGACUUAUACUGACACUAAGGCUCGAAAGCGUGGGGAGCAAAACGGAUUAGAUACCCGUGUAGUCCACGCUGU